Molecule: small nuclear RNA, 151 nt
Filed under: Vigna angularis (adzuki bean)
Lineage: Eukaryota; Viridiplantae; Streptophyta; Magnoliopsida; Fabales; Fabaceae
Description: snRNA U1
Rfam family: U1 spliceosomal RNA
About the family: U1 is a small nuclear RNA (snRNA) component of the spliceosome (involved in pre-mRNA splicing). Its 5' end forms complementary base pairs with the 5' splice junction, thus defining the 5' donor site of an intron.
Source: RNAcentral
UAAUUUAUGUAGUAAAAAAUAUUUAUUAUUAGAAAAUAACAAUUUAUGACCUCCCUUGCACCUUGGGUGGGGUCUUGCUCUGAAGUCUCACAAGUGGUAGAGACUUCAUCAUAAUUUGUGAAGAGGGGGCCUGCGUUCGUGCGGCCCCUGU